Molecule: ribosomal RNA, 1222 nt
Filed under: Pentapycnon charcoti
Lineage: Eukaryota; Metazoa; Arthropoda; Pycnogonida; Pantopoda; Pycnogonidae
Description: 16S ribosomal RNA
Source: RNAcentral
AUUAUUUAUAUUUAAAUUUAUUUAUUUUUGUUAUAUUAUUUUAUUUAAAAUAUAUUUUAUUUUGGUUUAUUAUUUUUUAGAAUAUCUUUUAUUUAUUGUUUAUGUACUGUAAAGGAAUAUUAUAUUUUAUUUUUUUAGGAUUAAGUUAUUUAAGUACCUUUUGUAUCAGGGAAUAAUUAAUAAUUUUAAUUUUUUUAUGUUUCUCGAAAUAUUUUUGAUCUAAUUUAAAAUUAAUUUGUUGUUUCAUAAAAUUAUUUUAUUUUAAUUUAGGGGUGAUAUUCUAUUCGUAAUUUAUGAUAUCUAGUUUUUUUUAUUUAAUUUAUUUAAUCUUUUAUUUGUAUUUUUAUUAAUUUAAAAGAUUUAUGUAAGGGAUAAUCUUUACAUUAUUUUAUAAUUUUUAUAUUAAUAAUAAAUUUUAUCUUGAUGGUUGUUAUAAUUUUUAUUGUGUAAUUACUUAUUUUAUUUUUUUUGUAAUUUAAUUUUAUUAUAAAAAUUUAUUUAAUUUUUUUUUAUUUUAAUUUAAUGUUAUUAUAAGUAUAUUAUUUAUUAUUAUUUUUUUAUUAAUUUUAUUUUUAUAAAAAUAAAUUGUUUAUUUUUCGUCUGUUUAUUAAAAACAUAGUUUUUUGUUUUUAUAAAAAAUAAUACCUGCUCGGUGAAAAAUUUUAACAGCCGCAGUAAUUUGACUGUGCUAAGGUAGCAUAAUCAUUUGUCUUUUAAUUGAGGACUUGUAUGAAUGGUUUGACGAAAAAAUAAUUGUUUCUUAUAUCAUUAUUGAAUUUUACUUUUAAGUAAAAAGGCUUAAAUUAAUUUAAGGGACGAAAAGACCCUAUUAAGUUUAAUAAAUUUAAUUUUUAUUUUUCGUAAUAAUACUUUUUUUUAUUUGGCUGGGGUGGUAAAAAUAGAAUAUCUUUUUUUAUUUUGUUAAUUUAUUAAUUUAUUUUUUGAUCUUUUGAUUUUAAUUAUUAGAUUAAAUUGCUAUAGGGAUAACAGCAUAAUUUAUUUGGAAAGUUCAAAUUGAUAAAUAAGAUUGUGACCUCGAUGUUGGGUUAAAAUUUUACUUUUUAAUGAAGUAGUUAAAAAAGUAAGUCUGUUCGACUUUUAAAUUUUUACAUGAUCUGAGUUUAGACCGGUGUGAGCCAGGUCAGUUUUUAUCUUUAAUUUUUAUUUAUUUAUUUUUUUAGUACGAAAGGACAUAUAAAAUAGUAAUUUUUAUUUAUUUUUA